GGAUGAACGCUGGCGGCGUGCCUAACACAUGCAAGUCGAACGGAGUCCAGCCUUUAAGACCUUCGGGUCAAAGAGGGGAAGACUGAGUGGCGGACGGGUGAGUAACACGUGGGCAACCUGGCUCAUAGAGGGGGAUAACAGAGAGAAAUUUCUGCUAAUACCGCAUAAGCACACACUGCCGCAUGGCAGAGGGUGAAAAGAGAAUCGCUAUGAGAUGGACCCGCGUCUGAUUAGCCAGUUGGCAGGGUAAGAGCCUACCAAAGCGACGAUCAGUAGCCGAUCUGAGAGGAUGAACGGCCACAUUGGGACUGAGACACGGCCCAAACUCCUACGGGAGGCAGCAGUGGGGGAUAUUGCACAAUGGGGGGAACCCUGAUGCAGCGACGCCGCGUGAGUGAAGAAGUAUUUCGGGAUGUAAAGCUCUAUCAGCAGGGAAGAUAAUGACAGUACCUGAAGAAGAAGCCCCGGCUAACUACGUG
This 479-nucleotide ribosomal RNA is filed under the name uncultured bacterium. Its description in RNAcentral is "partial 16S ribosomal RNA". It matches the Rfam family "Bacterial small subunit ribosomal RNA", at positions 27 to 507 of the family's 1533-position model. The record is from RNAcentral.